AGCUAAUAGAUACCCAGGUAGUCCACGCCCUAAACGAUGUCAACUAGUUGUUGGAGCACAAAGUGGCUUUGGUUAAACGCAGCUAACGACGCGAAGUUGACCGCCUGGGGAGUACGGUCGCAAGAUUAAAACUCAAAGGAAUUGACGGGGACCCGGCACAAGCGGUGGAUGAUGUGGAUUAAUUCGAUGCAACGCGAAAAACCUUAACCUACCCUUGACAUGGUUCGAAUCUUUCAGAGAUGAGAGAGUGCUCGCAAGAGAACGGACACACAGGUGCUGCAUGGCUGUCGUCAGCUCGUGUCGUGAGAUGUUGGGUUAAGUCCCGCAACGAGCGCAACCCUUGUCAUUAAUUGCCAUCAUUAGGUUGGGCACUUUAAUGAGACUGCCGGUGACAAACCGGA
This 401-nucleotide ribosomal RNA is filed under the name uncultured bacterium. Its description in RNAcentral is "bacterial SSU rRNA". It matches the Rfam family "Bacterial small subunit ribosomal RNA", at positions 767 to 1167 of the family's 1533-position model. The record is from RNAcentral.